GUAAAAGUUGUGCUCUGCAUUCAAUCAGGGUAACUGCUCAGAAAACUGCAUUCUUAGUGGAAAUGCACAGGCAAGGUAUGCGGUGUUCUUUUCUACUGGAAAUCCUCCAUUGUGGCUCCUCAGCUCAAAGCUAAAGGAAGAUACUUAAAAUUUGACGACAGAAGAUGUGUCCCUCAGGUGGAUGCACCCCAUACAACUCCAGGUCUGGAUGUCCCCUGCUCUUUCCUUCAGAAGCUCUGGAAAUGGGCAAUCUUUGCUCUACUCUUCUCCAUUUUCAGAUGUAACAUGCUGUGAAGCUGCUUUGGGUCAGCAAGAAACCUUCAUAACAGGCGUUUCAGAUCCUGAAAAUGCCACGGUGUGCGUGAGAUUUGAAGACAGCAGAAAGCUCAGCGAAGGCUGUCACGUCCGCAGAGACCUUUUGAUGGAUUUAGUAGGAUUUCAGUAAAGACGGAGAGACAUUUUACACGGACAAAAGGUCCUGCAUCGGCUCUACGUGCAAACUUUUACAGAUCAUCAAAUUCAGUGUUGGGUUUGGAAAAUAUGAGAGUAAAAGCAUAUUUGCAAACCAGCCUUCGUGUCUGCAGGUCAAAGCUUAUUCCUGUGAUCUUAAAGGCAACUCUCCGAAGCCAUUUACUAUACCUAGCGAAUAAGAACUGCCAGGUUGAAAUAUUAACUUAGAAAAUGUGAUACAACAGAAAAAAAUUGCUGGGCUUACUAAUACUUUAUAAGUAAAUAACACUGUUAUAGCUACUUGGAUUGUAUUUUUAUUCCAGAAGGAAUGAUUAUUUUUAUGCCAUCAGUAAGGAAUGAUAAAUCCUACUCCUGUAACAAGGAGGAGAAAGCCCUUCAAGCAUCCUUAUUACGUGCCAUGUUGUUGGCUUUCCAUGCACUUUUGAAAAAUAGAUACAUAGCCGCUGCCACUUACCAGUGAACUUUAUUGAAUAUCUGAGAGAGUGUAGGUAAGUCAGAA
Long non-coding RNA from Struthio camelus australis, 970 nucleotides. RefSeq lists it as uncharacterized. The record is from RefSeq and is a predicted model, not a curated record. Lineage: Eukaryota; Metazoa; Chordata; Aves; Struthioniformes; Struthionidae.